UGGGAUGUGGUGAAGUGGUCAACACAUCAGAUUUUGAUUCUGACAUUCGUGGGUUCGAAUCCCACCAUCCUAG
RNAcentral lists this transfer RNA (73 nucleotides) under Bacteriophage sp. RNAcentral describes it as "tRNA-Gln". It matches the Rfam family "tRNA". From Rfam's summary of the family: Transfer RNA (tRNA) molecules are approximately 80 nucleotides in length. Their secondary structure includes four short double-helical elements and three loops (D, anti-codon, and T loops). Further hydrogen bonds mediate the characteristic L-shaped molecular structure. tRNAs have two regions of fundamental functional importance: the anti-codon, which is responsible for specific mRNA codon recognition, and the 3' end, to which the tRNAs corresponding amino acid is attached (by aminoacyl-tRNA synthetases). tRNAs cope with the degeneracy of the genetic code in two manners: having more than one tRNA (with a specific anti-codon) for a particular amino acid; and 'wobble' base-pairing, i.e. permitting non-standard base-pairing at the 3rd anti-codon position. The record is from RNAcentral.